GACGAACGCUGGCGGCGUGGAUUAGGCAUGCAAGUCGAGCGAUAUCUACCUUCGGGUAGUGAAAGCGGCGAACGGGUGAGUAACACGUGAACAACCUGCCCUCACAUUCCGGAUAAUAGACCGAAAGGUCUUGUAAUACGGGCGAGGAUUCUCCUUUGGCAUCUUAGGAGAAGGGAAGGCGCAAGCCGUGCGAGGAGGGUUCGCGGA
RNAcentral lists this ribosomal RNA (207 nucleotides) under uncultured bacterium. RNAcentral describes it as "partial 16S ribosomal RNA". It matches the Rfam family "Bacterial small subunit ribosomal RNA", at positions 28 to 237 of the family's 1533-position model. The record is from RNAcentral.